RNAcentral lists this ribosomal RNA (497 nucleotides) under uncultured bacterium. Its description in RNAcentral is "partial 16S ribosomal RNA". It matches the Rfam family "Bacterial small subunit ribosomal RNA", at positions 28 to 507 of the family's 1533-position model. The record is from RNAcentral.
GAUGAACGCUGGCGGCGUGCCUAAUACAUGCAAGUCGAGCGAACAGAUGAGGAGCUUGCUCCUCUGACGUUAGCGGCGGACGGGUGAGUAACACGUGGAUAACCUACCUAUAAGACUGGGAUAACUUCGGGAAACCGGAGCUAAUACCGGAUAAUCUAUUGAACCGUAUGGUUCAAUAGUGAAAGACGGUUUUGCUGUCACUUAUAGAUGGAUCCGCGCCGCAUUAGCUAGUUGGUAAGGUAACGGCUUACCAAGGCAACGAUGCGUAGCCGACCUGAGAGGGGGAUCGGCCACACUGGAACGUGGACACGGUCCAGACUCCUACGGGAGGCAGCAGUAGGGAAUCUUCCGCAAUGGGCGAAAGCCUGACGGAGCAACGCCGCGUGAGUGAUGAAGGUCUUCGGAUCGUAAAACUCUGUUAUUAGGGAAGAACAAAUGUGUAAGUAACUAUGCACGUCUUGACGGUACCUAAUCAGAAAGCCACGGCUAACUACGUG